AAGGCCGACAGAGGUCAAGAGGCAGUAAGGAUUACCGUCUUUGCCUCUACCGUCUACUUGUGGACCAGCCUCUUCCAAGCCAGGCCACUCCUGGAACCCAUGAACUUGUCUCCAGGGACCUCAGAGCUGGAAUGGGGAUGAGACCAAAAUGCACUGAACAGCGUUGGCUUAAGGCCUCAGUGAGAAUAAGAAGUCGGUGAGCGUGGCCAGGAGAAGAAAAGCCUGCCUUGUGGACACAGGCCGGGCAGAGCUGGGGGCAGAGGCCACGGCGUGAAGGCCCAGCACCAAGAAGGAUCAGUUCUCCUCCUGAGGCCAGGGCCUCAGAUACACCUGCCACGAGGGAUACCUGCUGGCGUAACUGCCUUCCUACAACCUUUGGACUCUCAGCCAUAAACAGACCAGCCCUUGGUUCCAGACCACCCAGCACUGCCUGGAUGCAGAGCAAAGUUCAAGAGAGGGGAGCAGGCCUCGGCUGAUUCGUCUGCAUCUCCUACCUGGAUUUUCAAGCUCUGGAUCUCUUCCUGUUUGUCUUCGAUGUCUUCAUCCGGGACGUGACACUUCUGCGACAUCACCCUCUCGUGCUGCCUGGUG
Molecule: non-coding RNA, 591 nt
Organism: Manis javanica (Malayan pangolin)
Lineage: Eukaryota; Metazoa; Chordata; Mammalia; Pholidota; Manidae
Source: RefSeq, a predicted model, not a curated record